UUAUACUAAGUUUACUAGCAGUUGUGUAAGUGCUUUAAAAGGACUAGUAAUUUAACAGUAUUACUAGGAUUACUAGGUAUGUUAAUAUGCUUAUCUCUGGUUCAUAAUGAUGCUUGUUGUGAUUAAUUGAAUCUGCUUGCAUACAUGGAUUGAAACCGAAUUGAAAGCUGUUGCAUAUAGUCUUGUGGCUGUCUUACAUUGAAGCAUUAGAUUCAUGUCUAAAUGCUGAGUAAAGAAGCUUUAAAAAAAAAAAAAAAAAAAUGCCUAAGUAACUUGCAUAAACUGAAAAAGAAAAUGCUUGUGCUUAGAGAGAUUGCUUGCAAAGAUAGAACUUGAAAAUGACUUGUUUUAAUCUGUUGUAAUGCUUGUGAGAUUGGGAAUCAAACUUGAUGAUUAAUCAAGGAUUGAUCCCAAUACUCUUGUGUCUUAUCCUUGCUGGAGUUUGAGUGGUAUUUCAGGUUCACAAGAAGUGUUCUUUGCUCACCACCUAUCCAAGACAAGAGGAAGACUUGAACCAUUGUGUGGAGCAAUGGGAAGAUACUUGUGUGUAGAAGCUGGUUUAAGAAGCGCAGGCCACGAGGUUGUUGAGCUCCUGGUUCAAGACAUACAAGCGAAAGACCAACCAUUGUGUGGAGCAACGGGAAGGUUCUUGUGUGUAGAAGCCGGUUUAAGAAGCGCAGGCCACAAGGUUGUUGAGCUCCUGGUUCAAGACACACAAGAAGAAGAAGGUCACCAUCUAAGCCAUGAGGAAGGCUGGUGAUCUGAGGGUACUUGAAGCUGAAGGCAAAAGGGUGGAUCAGUGAUUUAAGCGCAGCUGUUAGGGUGAUGUGCUCCUGGUCUUGAAGUUCAUUGAGGCUCAUUUCAAGCUUGGAUCUCCCCAUUCUCGGUCUCAAGCUUGCGGUGGGAAUUCAAAUGACCAACCUGAAGUGCUAAAGUUCAAGACCUGUUUCCUCCUUAUCAUUACAAUAGAAUGAUAAAAUGAAGCCUGUUGCCAAAAUUCUGUGGGAAGUCCACAGCCUGCUCCAAAGAGGGUAGAGAGGAUGUUGUGACAAUGGAGAGAUGACUUGUGGUUCUGUCCAUGGUGGUUUAGUCACCAUAGCCUACACAUCAGAUGAGUGUAGAGAGGACAGUCGACAUACAAAGAAGAGCAUCACCAGGAGGGUGAUGCAAUUUAAACAAAGACCAUUGCAAGCUGAUCAUGGAGUGAUCCAGCCGAAGUAGAGGGAAGAAGAAAGCUACUCAAUAAGCCUCUGGUGUGAGAUGCUUGGAGAGUGAGCAUUGCAAGAGGUAUGGGCACACCAAGGAGAGGUGUUGGAUACUGAAUCCAAGCCUCAAACCUGCCAAGUUCAAGUGAACCGUGCCCAUGGAGGUUCAAGAGAUCAGCUCGGAUCUCUUGUUUGUAAGCAAACCUCCUAACCCUUAAUAAGAGCUUGUGUCUUUAUUUAUUGUGUAGAAUUGAGUAGAAUGUCUAUACUGCUUGCAUCAUGUUUGAAAAGCUGUUUUGCAUGCAUAAGCAUGUCUCAUAUUGUCUAAGUUCAAUCCGAGUGUGUACUGUUGCUAAUGUUUAUGUUUAAUCCAUCAAUGAAAGUCUAGCAUCAAUUAGAAAUUGUUUAAGUUGCUUGCAUCAUUGGUCUUGAUUGAAACUGCUGUGCAUAGCUUUCAUAUGUCUCAUGGAUUGAACCUGUUGCAUUCAUGUAGUUAAUGCUUUAAGAUUGUGCAUUCUUGUAUUGAUGCAUUUAAAAAUGAGCCUAAAUUGUCAAUGUAUUGUAUAAAGCUUGCAUUGUCAUUUUAGAGAUUGAAAACUGCUUGUUCUUGCCUUAUUGAUUGGCUUGUUUCAAGGUUUAUAUAUUGCUGUGACAUUGGUGAUCAAACAGGAUAAAUUAUCUUGGUUUGAUCCCAAUGGGAUGAUCUGAUCUUGCAUUGAGUUGUGGUGGUGUUAGGUACACAAGGAAAGUGAUACAUGUAACUCACCAACAGCCAAGAAUGUAGAGACAAAGGUCUUGUGCCAUUGCAUAUCAUCACUAGGACAUGUUAGUCCAUAAUCUACAGGAAGUGUAGUGUGAUUGAUUAUGCAAUGAGAGAUGGCCAUUGCAUAAUACCAUUGGACAUAUACAGUCCAAAGACUACAGGAAGUGUAGCAUGGGUCAUUAUGCAAUGAGAAGUGUGUCUUGUGAGUCUCUCUAUGGUGAUUCAAACACCCUAGUUCCUGGUUAAGGAAGAUAGUUAACUCACAAGAAGAAAGCUAUCAUGAAAGACUGAUAGUUAUAGACCAUGGAGAUGCAUAGGAUCAUCACAAGCUUAGCUCCUUCUAGUCUCGGUUCUAAGCUUGAGGGGGAGUCUUAAUGCAUAUGAUCCAUGGUCAGUAACAAGUCUUUUGCAAAAGCUUCUACAAGGAUCAUCAACCGGACCAAGUCAGUGGCGUGUCUAGGCAAGAGGCUGUUCAGAGCAGCCUUGGCAAGUGAGGAAGAAGGCUCUCCAUCAAUGCGGCUUCAAUGAGAGGUGAUUGAGGAGAAGCUGAUGAAUCCAUUCUGCCUUUCCAAGAAGUUGAUGAUGCCAUGAAGAUGGUACAUUGGUCGAGUUUGGAAACUCACAAAAACACAAGGGAAGUUCCCUUAGACUUUUAAAACUCCUUUCAAUCUUUUUCAUUCAUCUUAUUCAUUGCUUGUGCUUGAAAAGAUACUUAAGAUGAUUAUGAUUGAAUUGUGAGAUUGUGUGCAUCAAAUGUGAUGCAGGAUAUUCAUUUUCUUGUUUUUGAUAGGUACUGAUGCACCUUUGGGAUAAUGUAUCAGGUACCAUGGCUUGAGCCUCACUAAAGAUGUUCCUGGUCAGUUCCUAGCUUCUCUAAGAUGGCUGAGAAGUCUGUUGAGAGGGGGAGAUCCAAACCAGUCCUAUGAAGAGGGCAAGCCGUGUGUGAAGUGUUGAUCAGCCUCACUAGUGUUGUGAAGAUGAUCUGGUCGUGUCCUAGCUUCUCUAAGAAGGCUGUGAAGUCAGUUGAGAGGGGGAGACUUCAAACCAGUUCCAUGAAGAGGUGAAGCUGAGUUGUUGAGUGCGCAAAGUCUUGACGAGUUGCUGCACCAGUUUAGGCCGUGAUCCAGAACUUCUUGUGUCCAACCACACUGGUUCUAAGGCACAAGAGUUCACUGGCUAAUCCCUAGGCUUUGGAGAGCUCUACUCUUUUUCCCUUGCAAGGUUUUGUCCCAAUGGGUUUUCCUUGUAAGGUUUUUAAUGAGGGAGACUCUUCAGAGUUCCAAGCUUGGCUUAGGAUCUCCUAAAGUCAAGCUUGAGGGGGAGUGUUGAACUGAAGAGAAGAUAGAGCUUGUACAAUAAUAGGGCAAGCUCUAGAAGAUGUCCAGAAGAGUUCAAUCAAGCUUCAGAGGUGUUCUGAAGUAGUUAUCUUGUGAAGUUAAGUCUAGGAAAGACUUAGACUGAUCAUGUGAAGGCUGUGAAGGAGUUAGAGAGAAGAUGGAAGUAUGGUGCAAAGAUAGGGCGUUCAGUACGGGCUUGUACGGUCUAGGGUGAGCCAUGAAGAUGUCUAGUGCAACCAAGAAGGAAGAUAGGGCAAUGUACAAAGAUAGGGCGAGUGGUACGGACAGGAGGUCCGUACCAUCGACCGUACAGUCCACUCCUCACGCCCAUGUCAUCCGGUUAACCCCAAAUCUUGAUGUGCAAUGUGUGGGCGGUUCAAUCUGAUCUUAAGUGACCGUUUGGGAUACUUGGAGGGAAAGGAAGAUUCAAAUGGAUAAGGUGAGCUGUUGGUAUGAGCUGGAAAGGUAAAGGUGCUUUACCUUUACAGCCUUGACUCAUCUUAUCCAUCCAAUUCAAAUGAAGCAAUCUGAGCCCUUUACCUUGAGUCAAAUCGCCAGCUAGCUCCAGCAACAUCAAGACCAGUCUUCUCUCAUCCUCACCAUCCAUUUUAUCUUGUAUUUACAGCCUUAGGAUCUAGGUUUGUGAUCUGAGUGUGUAAAGGCAUAUAUAAGCCUCUUAUCAUCAUUUUGUAAUCUCUUAAGUGAGUAAGGGGGAUUUCCCCUCUCCACUUCAUGAAUGAUAAACUGUUCUUGAAUCUAAAACCCUAAUCUCUAAUCUCUUAUUCUCCUAAUCUCUCAGUCUCUUAAUCUCUGUUCCUAAGUCUCUUAUUCUCUCAUAAACACUCUCACCAAUCUCUCUUUCUAAAUUACCUAGAGCAAGCUCUCAUCUUUCUCCAUUGGAGUUUAUACACACACAUACAACCAGAGAAGAGAACUCUACAAAUCUCAUAUGGUAUCAGAGCCAGGUUCAUCAGAACCUGAGCUGAAGCUUCCGCAAGUCCACAGCUCACGCCUCAGCUCAAAACCAAACCCCUUUGACGCCAUUGAUGCUUUCCCAUCCAGUUCAGUCCCUUAUGAAGAAGAAGGCUGAAGCUUGGCGAGUUCCCUUGGUUCCUCAUCCUGUUCUCUACUUGCUCAGAUGGAGAUUAUCCUUGGAGGCAAAGGUGUAUGGAGAGGCCUAACUAACCUGACUCCAAAGCUCCUUGUCCAAGAGAAGUUUCACAUCAGGCUAAAAGAGUAUGGUGUCAAGAGCUUGGCGCCUAGAUGUUCUGAAGAAAGGAGGGAUCUUUUGAGUUGAUGGUACAAGAUGGUGGCCAUGAACUGAAGGAGAAGGAGGUGGGUGAUGAUCUAGACUCUCAGUUCCAACAACAGUCAUGGCCGGUUUCACAAAAUGCAAAAGGAAUCAACCUGGUUCCUUGUUGUAAGCGAUUCUAUAAACCAUCUUGAUAAUGAGCUUGUGUUGUUGACUGGUUGUGAUGUUGUGAUGUGAUUGAAAUCCUGAGGACUGUUUAAAAGAUUAUUAAAUGAAAUGAAUUUAGAAUCUGUCCCAGGAUGCUUAAAGAGCUUGGUUCCCUAGUAAUCCUUUCAUCGUACUAGUUAUACUAAGUUUACUAGCAGUUGUGUAAGUGCUUUAAAAGGACUAGUAAUUUAACAGUAUUACUAGGAUUACUAGGUAUGUUAAUAUGCUUAUCUCUGGUUCAUAAUGAUGCUUGUUGUGAUUAAUUGAAUCUGCUUGCAUACAUGGAUUGAAACCGAAUUGAAAGCUGUUGCAUAUAGUCUUGUGGCUGUCUUACAUUGAAGCAUUAGAUUCAUGUCUAAAUGCUGAGUAAAGAAGCUUUAAAAAAAAAAAAAAAAAAAAUGCCUAAGUAACUUGCAUAAACUGAAAAAGAAAAUGCUUGUGCUUAGAGAGAUUGCUUGCAAAGAUAGAACUUGAAAAUGACUUGUUUUAAUCUGUUGUAAUGCUUGUGAGAUUGGGAAUCAAACUUGAUGAUUAAUCAAGGAUUGAUCCCAAUACUCUUGUGUCUUAUCCUUGCUGGAGUUUGAGUGGUAUUUCAGGUUCACAAGAAGUGUUCUUUGCUCACCACCUAUCCAAGACAAGAGGAAGACUUGAACCAUUGUGUGGAGCAAUGGGAAGAUACUUGUGUGUAGAAGCUGGUUUAAGAAGCGCAGGCCACGAGGUUGUUGAGCUCCUGGUUCAAGACAU
RNAcentral lists this long non-coding RNA (5508 nucleotides) under Brassica napus (rape). RNAcentral's name for it is "long non-coding RNA (BNAP_LNC022905)". The record is from RNAcentral. Lineage: Eukaryota; Viridiplantae; Streptophyta; Magnoliopsida; Brassicales; Brassicaceae.